GGAGGGGUGGCAGAGUGGACGAAUGCAGCGGUCUUGAAAACCGCCGUGGCGCAAGCCACCGUGGGUUCGAAUCCCACCCCCUCCGCCA
Molecule: transfer RNA, 88 nt
Filed under: Chloroflexota bacterium
Lineage: Bacteria; Bacillati; Chloroflexota
Also listed under: 2 other names
Description: tRNA-Ser
Rfam family: tRNA
About the family: Transfer RNA (tRNA) molecules are approximately 80 nucleotides in length. Their secondary structure includes four short double-helical elements and three loops (D, anti-codon, and T loops). Further hydrogen bonds mediate the characteristic L-shaped molecular structure. tRNAs have two regions of fundamental functional importance: the anti-codon, which is responsible for specific mRNA codon recognition, and the 3' end, to which the tRNAs corresponding amino acid is attached (by aminoacyl-tRNA synthetases). tRNAs cope with the degeneracy of the genetic code in two manners: having more than one tRNA (with a specific anti-codon) for a particular amino acid; and 'wobble' base-pairing, i.e. permitting non-standard base-pairing at the 3rd anti-codon position.
Source: RNAcentral